CAGCCGCCGCGGGAAUACGUAGGUGGCAAGCGUUGUUCGGAAUUAUUGGGCGUAAAGGGUGCGUAGGCGGUUUGACAAGUCUUAUGUGAAAUCUUCGGGCUCAACCCGAAGUCUGCAUGAGAAACUGUCGGGCUUGAGUAUGGGAGAGGUGAGUGGAAUUUCCGGUGUAGCGGUGAAAUGCGUAGAUAUCGGAAGGAACACCUGUGGCGAAAGCGGCUCACUGGACCAUAACUGACGCUGAUGCACGAAAGCUAGGGGAGCAAACAGGAUUAGAUACCCGGGUAGUCCCUGUCUCUUAUAC
RNAcentral lists this ribosomal RNA (301 nucleotides) under uncultured bacterium. RNAcentral describes it as "partial 16S ribosomal RNA". It matches the Rfam family "Bacterial small subunit ribosomal RNA", at positions 509 to 807 of the family's 1533-position model. The record is from RNAcentral.